This 500-nucleotide ribosomal RNA is filed under the name uncultured bacterium. RNAcentral's name for it is "partial 16S ribosomal RNA". It matches the Rfam family "Bacterial small subunit ribosomal RNA", at positions 30 to 523 of the family's 1533-position model. The record is from RNAcentral.
AUUGAACGCUGGCGGAAUGCUUUACACAUGCAAGUCGAACGGCAGCACGGACUUCGGUCUGGUGGCGAGUGGCGAACGGGUGAGUAAUGUAUCGGAACGUGCCCAGUCGUGGGGGAUAACGUAGUGAAAAUUACGCUAAUACCGCAUACGAUCUAUGGAUGAAAGCGGGGGAUCGCAAGACCUCGCGCGAUUGGAGCGGCCGAUAUCAGAUUAGGUAGUUGGUGGGGUAAAGGCCCACCAAGCCAACGAUCUGUAGCUGGUCUGAGAGGACGACCAGCCACACUGGAACUGGGACACGGUCGAGACUCCUACGGGAGGCAGCAGUGGGGAGUUUUGGACAAUGGGCAAAAGCCUGAUCCAGCCAUUCCGCGUGCAGGAUGAAGGCCCUCGGGUUGUAAACUGCUUUUGUACAGAACGAAAAGGUUUCUACUAAUACUAGGAGCUCAUGAAGGUACUGUAAGAGUAAGCACCGGCUAACUACGUGCCAGCCGCCGCAGUAA